RNAcentral lists this ribosomal RNA (253 nucleotides) under uncultured bacterium. RNAcentral's name for it is "partial 16S ribosomal RNA". It matches the Rfam family "Bacterial small subunit ribosomal RNA", at positions 524 to 776 of the family's 1533-position model. The record is from RNAcentral.
UACGUAGGGUGCAAGCGUUAAUCGGAAUUACUGGGCGUAAAGCGUGCGCAGGCGGCUUUGCAAGACAGAUGUGAAAUCCCCGGGCUUAACCUGGGAACUGCAUUUGUGACUGCAUGGCUGGAGUGCGGCAGAGGGGGAUGGAAUUCCGCGUGUAGCAGUGAAAUGCGUAGAUAUGCGGAGGAACACCGAUGGCGAAGGCAGCCCCCUGGGCCGACACUGACGCUCAGGCACGAAAGCGUGGGGAGCAAACAGG